Molecule: ribosomal RNA, 488 nt
Filed under: uncultured Sphingobacteriales bacterium
Lineage: Bacteria; Pseudomonadati; Bacteroidota; Sphingobacteriia; Sphingobacteriales
Description: bacterial SSU rRNA
Rfam family: Bacterial small subunit ribosomal RNA
Source: RNAcentral
ACGAACGAACUAAAGGAAGUUGACGGGGCCCGCGACAAGCGGAGGAGCAUGUGGUUAAUUCGAUGAUACGCGAGGAACUUACCUGGGCUCGAACGUAAGAUGACUGUAGGUGAAAGCUUACAUCUCUUCGGAGCAUUUUACGAGGUGCUGCAUGGUUGUCGUCAGCUCGUGCCGUGAGGUGUCGGGUUAAGUCCCAUAACGAGCGCAACCCCUACCUUAGUUGCCAUCAGGUAAUGCUGGGGACUCUAAAGGAACUGCCUACGCAAGUAGUGAGGAAGGCGGGGAUGACGUCAAAUCAGCACGGCCCUUACGUCCAGGGCUACACACGUGCUACAAUGGCCGAUACAGAGGGCAGCUACCUGGUGACAGGAUACAAAUCUCCAAAGUCGGUCUCAGUUCGGAUCGGAGUCUGCAACCCGACUCCGUGAAGUUGGAUUCGCUAGUAAUCGCGCAUCAGCCAUGGCGCGGUGAAUACGUUCCCGGGCCUU